Molecule: ribosomal RNA, 497 nt
Filed under: uncultured bacterium
Lineage: Bacteria
Description: partial 16S ribosomal RNA
Rfam family: Bacterial small subunit ribosomal RNA
Source: RNAcentral
GAUGAACGCUGGCGGCGUGCCUAAUACAUGCAAGUCGAGCGAACGGACGAGAAGCUUGCUUUUCUGAUGUUAGCGGCGGACGGGUGAGUAACACGUGGAUAACCUACCUAUAAGACUGGGAUAACUUCGGGAAACCGGAGCUACUACCGGAUAAUAUUUUGCACCGCAUUGUUCCAAAGUGAAAGACGCUCUUUCUUUCACUUAUAGCUUGAUCCGCCCUGCAUUAGCUAGUUGGUAAGGUAACGGCUUACCAAGGCAACGAUGCAUAGCCGACCUGAGAGGGGGAUCGGACACACUGGAACUGAGAAACGGUACAGACUCCUAGGGGAGGCAGCAGUAGGGAAUCUUCCGCAAGGGGCGAAAGCCUGACGGAGCAACGCCGCGUGAGUGAUGAAGGUCUUCGGAUCGUAAAACUCUGUUAUUAGGGAAGAACAUAUGUGUAAGUAACUGUGCACAUAUUGACGGUACCUAAUCAGAAAGCCACGGCUAACUACGUG